RNAcentral lists this long non-coding RNA (220 nucleotides) under Eucalyptus grandis. RNAcentral describes it as "long non-coding RNA (EGRA_LNC000072)". The record is from RNAcentral. Lineage: Eukaryota; Viridiplantae; Streptophyta; Magnoliopsida; Myrtales; Myrtaceae.
ACGAGUGAUGACGGCGAGCGACGAUGACGAGCGAUGACCGCCUUAGUGAGCGUGAACGGUGACCUAUGAAUGGCGAUAGGAUGUCAGAUCUGGUGUGAACGCGAGCAUGAACAGAGAGGAGCGGCGAUGGUCAGAUCUAGUUAAACCCAAAAUAAGCUAAACGAUGUCAUUUAGCACUAAGGAAAUACGAUAUCAUUUAGCUUGGCCAAGCCAACACGGG